Molecule: RNA transcript, 3406 nt
Organism: Nematostella vectensis (starlet sea anemone)
Lineage: Eukaryota; Metazoa; Cnidaria; Anthozoa; Actiniaria; Edwardsiidae
Exons: 6
Source: RefSeq, a predicted model, not a curated record
AUGAGCCUGCGGUACGGUUCCUUAGAAAGCUUGGAAGUAUUUUUCAAGAUUUCAAAUUAUUGGGAAAAAUGAUAUUAUUCUGCCUACAAAUUUGCCCCUAACGGUCAUUUGAGUUACUGUUAAGGUAUUCUUAUAGUCUCAAGUUAGACAAUAUUCUGUAUUGCUAGAUAGAAAUGGACGAAGAAAGCGAUGAAACCUUUUGCGAUUCGAUGGAAGAAGACAAACUUUGCUCAGAUUCUCAAAACUCGCCAUCGAUUCUUGGAGGACUUCAAAACGCAGUAUCCCGAAAGACAUCUCAACUUCUGUCAUGCAAUGAUGAUGGUGGUAUCAACUCAGUGCCAGCAGUACAUGGGUCACCUCAAUAUCUCCCACCUGCUGCAAAACUCAAGAAACUUGAUGUCCCUCUACUCAAGUUACACCAAGAUACUAAGCCUGAGGAGAUGGUGGAACCAGAAUCACAACUGGCACAAGAUGGAACACCAGAGUUACCUCAUCCACCUGGCAAAUUUAAGCAUCUUAGUUAUCCCCCAUACAUAGAGCUCCCACUUUCUGCUGAUCGGCAUUAUAUAGAUGUAGCUGAAUCGCAACAGACACAGGAUAUGAUAAUAGGAGGAGCUCCAGAUUAUCCCCUUUCAUUUGUCAAAUUAGCAAAGCUUGAUGCCCAUCAGCUGCCAGAAGGACCAGACAUGGGGUGGAACGAUUCACAGCUUACACAGGAUGUGGUUAUAGAUGAUGGGUCACACAUGAAGAAAGAUGAUUCAGUGAUUAAGGCAAGGCAACAUCAGAUAGCAGACAUAAAGAGCAAGAUCCAGAAUCUAAGCAAGAUCCAGAAUCUAAGCAGAAUGAAAGCAUCAGGCAAAGACAUCAAGACAAGUUCAGAGUUUGCAUCUAUCAAAAACGAUAUGUCAACCCUUCGUACUGCUUUAAGUGAGAUGAACAUUGAGCAACAGAAAAGCAGAGAGCGACUGACUCAGGAAUGUCAAGAGAAGGAGUGGCAAGAGACAUCUAAGGAAAAAUUGCACAUGCUGGCGACAAAACAGAAGCAAAUCCUUGAACUGUUCAGGAAAUAUAAGGGUUUGGUGACACUUCUCAAAGGACUGACAAACCAGGUACCAUCUGCCCUGCCUGGUAUUAGUGAGCCAUUGGAUGCCAUGAUAACUGAGAAAAGUGAAGCACUAACUAGCUUGGAAUCUACAAGUGAGGAUAAUGCCGCUAAGCCAAAACCAGAGUUGACAGAGUCGAAAUGUAGUGCAGUUACAUUUUCGGUCAAGGAACCCGGCUCUACUGAAACAAGGUCAUUGAGUGGAUCGUGUUCAUCAAGAUCGGUGUCACACGAACAUCGCACAAUCAACCAGAGUUUACCAUCAAAGCUACCAGCACCAGCCACUAUAAUAUAUGUGAACGACACGAGCACCCAAGGCGUGUCUACCGUGCAGGGAUUGGUACAGUCACAGCCAAGAUGCCAAGCUACAUUGAAUCCCGUGAGAAAACUGAGUGUAUCAGCUACAAGUGCUCAGAAAAAAAACAUUUCAGGGAAAUCAGACGAGGCUUGUACGACGAUUAAUUGUACCACAAGGGUAAUGACGGGAAUAAAAAGUCAUAUCACCAGCACAUAUCCUACUAAAGCUCAGCCUUCAAGAGAGGGUUUAUCACAAAGCACCACACCCUUGUCCUUACAUACCACUGCACUCCAGCAAGCCUCAACCAAUCUUAGGGACUGCACACUUGAAAACAGCUUCCAUCCCGGAUCAAACAUCGAAACAAAUACACCAAUAAGAGCUUUACUUUUACCCUUUAAGCCUCAAACUACUAUGACUAAUUUCGUUAAAAAAGGUAUUCUGGUAAACAAAAGCGGCCAUCUGUCGGGUUCUAACACUGUAUCUGAUACUCAUGCAAAGACUGUGCCCAGUACCUCGGUACUCCAAGGAUCAACCGAUGUUAGCGCUACAAAACGCACUCCGGAAGCCAGCUAUCACUGUGGUCCAAACGUGAGUACUGAUAGUCAAACAAGAACUAUGCUUGCAACCACUGUACCUCGAGUAAUAACCUAUGUCCUCACGAACGAACACACCCCGGCAAAGAGUGACCUGUUAGAAUCAGAUACAGCCACUAAUAACCAAGCCAGGGCUGAACUUAGAUCUACUUUUCCCCAGAGAUCAACAACUAAUGUUGUCGCCGAAGACAACAGCCUGGCAGUAAAGAUUAGUGAGUGUGGGUCAAAUAGCGCCACUAAUACUCGAACGAAAAGCGUCUCUAGGGCUCCAAAUGGUCAAAGACCUGCGGGACACCCAAAUGAAGUAGUUCCAAGUGAACAAAAGAUGGGAAUACAGUCUACGGGAACCUCUGCGGGUACAACACCCAGAACACCAUCCUUAACAAGGAAUCAGACUGGAGGCGCAUCAGCUGCCGCAUCCUUGACCAGGAAGCAGACUGGAGGCGCAUCAGCUGCCGCAUCCUUGACCAGGAAGCAGACUGGAGGCGCAUCAGCUGCCGCAUCCUUGACCAGGAAGCAGACUGGAGGCGCAGCAUCCUUAACCAGGAAGCAGACUGGGGGUGCAGCAUCCUUAACCAGGAAGCAGACUGGGGGCGCAGCAUCCAUGACCAAAAAGCAGACUGGGGGUAGACAACCAGAGACAGGGGCUACCAAAGGAGUGGUAUACAAUCAGACAGCACAAACUCCUCGGCCAGACCUCAAGAGUCUACUGCAGCAUGGCGUUCUGCAACCGGGAAUCAACGUUCUAUCCGUACAGAUUCAGGGCAAGAGAUUCGAGGCGUCUCUCAUGGCAAAUGGCCAAAUCCAGUCGGAUAAUGGUGAUAUCUACACCACGCCCAUGUCGUGGAUAAAAGGGAUAACUGGCAGCAGAACCCAUAUGUCACAGGCACGCUCCUAUGAUCAGGUCAAAUUUAGCCUUCAUGGGAAAACGGCCUAAGGCCCUGUCCCCACGUAUCAGUUUUUGUUUGAAAACGCAACCUUUUCGUUACGGAUAUAUACGGGUAUCUUCCAUACGUAAACUGGAAAACUGAGCAAUUUGAAAACUCUAUCCAGAGUGGAGCAUUUUGAAAACGAUACCUCUUCGGUGUCGUAUGGACGGAACUUUUCGAAAACAAUUACGUGAUGACUUACUAUGCGCUGUAAAGCUUGUUAUCGUUUAAUAUCGUUUCUCCUUUUUCGUGUGGACGGGCCGUUAAAAAUGCAAACGCUUCGUGUGCGCUGUCAAGGCUAUUGAUGAAAUUUUGUCGAGACUUUCGCAUAAAUAACGAGCUAUGUGCGGUUCUGGCAUUUUUGCUUUAACGUUAGGUCUAUAUUGGAGACAAGGUCUGUAUUGGAGGCAAGGUGCUGUCUUCGUACUUACUUCCAAAAGUCCAGCAAGCAAACCAGAAAUCCCAAAGAGCAAACCAGAAAUCC